CCAAAAGUUCUGGUGAGAGCACCGUUACUGAAACGGAGGAAGGGAAGAAGAACAAAGCACCCAAGCAGCCAAAGCUUGUCCAUGAGAUCCCCAUGGAACUGAGUGUAAAUGAUGUGCCUGACCUGUUGGAGGACGAACUGAAGAGCUCAAUGAAAAAGGAUGUUUAGAAUGGCUCUGCCGGGUUAAAGCUCCAGAUUCCCAGACUUGACCAUCAGAGAUCUAGAGAAACAGGAAAGAGAGAAAUUGGCCAGCAGCUUGGAGUCAUUCAUCCUUGAGACCCAGGAGAAGCUUUACGAAGAGGAGCAUCUGUUUUUCUCAUCAGGGGAGCAGAGAGAAGACAUUUCCAAAAAGCUUAGCGAGGCUUCUGUUUGGAUGGAGGAGGGUAC
Pezoporus flaviventris is the source of this 386-nucleotide long non-coding RNA. RefSeq lists it as uncharacterized. NCBI's taxonomy places the organism in Eukaryota, Metazoa, Chordata, Aves, Psittaciformes, Psittacidae. The transcript is spliced from 3 exons. The record is from RefSeq and is a predicted model, not a curated record.